RNAcentral lists this ribosomal RNA (253 nucleotides) under uncultured bacterium. RNAcentral describes it as "partial 16S ribosomal RNA". It matches the Rfam family "Bacterial small subunit ribosomal RNA", at positions 524 to 776 of the family's 1533-position model. The record is from RNAcentral.
GACAGAGGGUGCAAACGUUGUUCGGAAUUACUGGGCGUAAAGCGCGUGUAGGCGGCUCUGCAAGUCGGAUGUGAAAGCCCUCGGCUCAACCGAGGAAGUGCACCCGAAACUGCAGAGCUAGAGUCUUGGAGAGGAUCGUGGAAUUCUCGGUGUAGAGGUGAAAUUCGUAGAUAUCGGGAGGAACACCAGUGGCGAAGGCGGCGAUCUGGGAAGAUACUGACGCUGAGGUGCGAAAGCGUGGGGAGCAAACAGG